This 253-nucleotide ribosomal RNA is filed under the name uncultured bacterium. RNAcentral describes it as "partial 16S ribosomal RNA". It matches the Rfam family "Bacterial small subunit ribosomal RNA", at positions 524 to 776 of the family's 1533-position model. The record is from RNAcentral.
UACGUAGGUGGCAAGCGUUGUCCGGAUUUACUGGGCGUAAAGAGCGCGCAGGCGGUCGAGUAAGUCGCGUGUGAAAGCCCCCGGCUCAACUGGGGAGGGUCACGCGAUACUGUUCGACUCGAAGGCAGGAGAGGGUAGUGGAAUUCCCGGUGUAGUGGUGAAAUGCGUAGAUAUCGGGAGGAACACCUGUGGCGAAAGCGGCUCACUGGACCACAACCGACGCUGAGGCGCGAAAGCUAGGGGAGCAAACGGG